UUCGCAAUGCCCGAAAGGGUGACGAAGCGACGCCGCGUGCGGGAGGAAGGCCUUCGGGUUGUAAACCGCUGUCGGGAGUUAAGAAAUGCAAGGAUGUUAAUAGCGUUCUUGCUUGACUAAGGCUCCGGAGGAAGCCACGGCUAACUCUGUGCCAGCAGCCGCGGUAAUACAGAGGCGGCAAGCGUUGUUCGGAAUUAUUGGGCGUAAAGAGCACGUAGGCGGCUGUGUAAGUCGGUUGUGAAAGCCUUCCGCUCAACGGAAGAACGGCAUCCGAUACUGCAUGGCUUGAGUGUGGGAGGGGAGAGUGGAACUUCUGGUGGAGCGGUGAAAUGCGUAGAUAUCAGAAGGAACACCGGCGGCGAAGGCGACUCUCUGGUCCAUAACUGACGCUGAGUGUGCGAAAGCUAGGGGAGCAAACGGGAUUAGAUACCCCGGUAGUCCUAGCCGUAAACGAUGGGCACUAAGUAGAGGGGUUUUA
Molecule: ribosomal RNA, 478 nt
Filed under: uncultured bacterium
Lineage: Bacteria
Also listed under: 2 other names
Description: bacterial SSU rRNA
Rfam family: Bacterial small subunit ribosomal RNA
Source: RNAcentral